Hemiscyllium ocellatum (epaulette shark) is the source of this 83-nucleotide small nucleolar RNA. RefSeq annotates it as small nucleolar RNA snR60/Z15/Z230/Z193/J17. The transcript has a single exon. The record is from RefSeq and is a predicted model, not a curated record. NCBI's taxonomy places the organism in Eukaryota, Metazoa, Chordata, Chondrichthyes, Orectolobiformes, Hemiscylliidae.
CAGGAUUGAAUGAUGAACUCAUAGUUCAGCAGAGAACUAAUGAAGAAUUUAUGCAAGUCUUUCGCUCCUGUCUGACAUUUCCU